GACGAACGCUGGCGGCGUGCUUAACACAUGCAAGUCGAACGGAAAGGCCCUGCUUUUGUGGGGUGCUCGAGUGGCGAACGGGUGAGUAACACGUGAGUAACCUGCCCUUGACUUUGGGAUAACUUCAGGAAACUGGGGCUAAUACCGGAUAGGAGCUCCUGCUGCAUGGUGGGGGUUGGAAAGUUUCGGCGGUUGGGGAUGGACUCGCGGCUUAUCAGCUUGUUGGUGGGGUAGUGGCUUACCAAGGCUUUGACGGGUAGCCGGCCUGAGAGGGUGACCGGCCACCUUGGGACUGAGGUUCGGCCCAGACUCCUACGGGAGGCAGCAGUGGGGAAUAUUGCACAAUGGGCGGAAGCCUGAUGCAGCAACGCCGCGUGCGGGAUGACGGCCUUCGGGUUGUAAACCGCUUUCGCCUGUGACGAAGCGUGAGUGACGGUAAUGGGUAAAGAAGCACCGGCUAACUACGUG
RNAcentral lists this ribosomal RNA (468 nucleotides) under uncultured bacterium. Its description in RNAcentral is "partial 16S ribosomal RNA". It matches the Rfam family "Bacterial small subunit ribosomal RNA", at positions 28 to 507 of the family's 1533-position model. The record is from RNAcentral.